AGCCUACGGGACGCAGCAGUGGGGAAUAUUGGGCAAUGGGCGCAAGCCUGACCCAGCAACGCCGCGUGAAGGAAGAAGGCUUUCGGGUUGUAAACUUCUUUUCUCAGGGACGAAGAAAGUGACGGUACCUGAGGAAUAAGCCACGGCUAACUACGUGCCAGCAGCCGCGGUAAUACGUAGGUGGCAAGCGUUAUCCGGAAUUACUGGGUGUAAAGGGUGUGUAGGCGGGGCUGCAAGUCAGAUGUGAAAAUUUUUGGCUCAACCCAUAACCUGCG
This 275-nucleotide ribosomal RNA is filed under the name uncultured bacterium. RNAcentral's name for it is "partial 16S ribosomal RNA". It matches the Rfam family "Bacterial small subunit ribosomal RNA", at positions 335 to 625 of the family's 1533-position model. The record is from RNAcentral.